AAUCCUUGCAAUGAACUACUGAUGCAGCCACGCCGCGUGGAGGAUGACGCAUCUUCGGUGUGUAAACUCCUUUUAUAUGUCAAGAAAAUGACGGUAGCAUAUGAAUAAGCACCGGCUAACUCCGUGCCAGCAGCCGCGGUAAUACGGAGGGUGCAAGCGUUAUUCGGAAUCACUGGGCGUAAAGGACGCGUAGGCGGGAUGCCAAGUCUGAUGUGAAAUCCUAUGGCUUAACCAUAUAACUGCAUUGGAAACUGGUAACCUAGAGUAUGGGAGGGGGAGAUGGAAUUAUUGGUGUAGGGGUAAAAUCCGUAUAUAUCACUAGGAAUACCGAAAGCGAAGGCGAUCUCCUGGAACAAUACUGACGCUAAGGCGUGAAAGCGUGGGGAGCAAAUGGGAUUAGAUACCCCAGUAGUCAACA
This 418-nucleotide ribosomal RNA is filed under the name uncultured bacterium. Its description in RNAcentral is "bacterial SSU rRNA". It matches the Rfam family "Bacterial small subunit ribosomal RNA", at positions 359 to 799 of the family's 1533-position model. The record is from RNAcentral.